UUAGUGUUGGCCGAGGACCGGUUACAUAAGUCAUGUGUUACACGGACUUCCAUCAACUGACAGUUAAGCAGACACAAUUUAGCAUGCAAUUCAAAGAAUUACACUUUUUAUAAGGCAAUACAAUAGCACUCAUGCUUUUCACAGGAGAGUCAUCACCGCCCUCCAGCUUACCACAGGAUCACUUACAUAACUGGAAAACAGUAAGAUAGAUGACAACCAGCAUGGCACACUGACAGCAAGAACAAAUGACCAUUGACACAAGAGGGACUUGGAGAGAAGGGCAGCAUCUCCAGAUACAAAUUUUGGAAAUAACAUAUCAAGCAGAAAGGUAAGCUCAAGCAAGGAUAUUGAAUGAAGAAAGUACACUGGAUUUGAGAAAACAGCAAACUAGCAGAUCUGGGUAGAAACCAAAUAAUGCAUGGAGGAUACGGGAAAUAAAGCUGACAAGUGGAAAGGAAUUAUGACAUCCUUGCCCUGGUAUUACCCCAAGAUGAAGCCAAAAAGGAUUUUUUGAUGAAGUAGAUACAAAAGGAAAGAAUGAAGUCAAGGAUGAUCCUGAAAUUUUUCACCUACACAAGUAGAACUGAAUGGUCAUUUUCACCAAAAUAGUUCUCCCAUUCAAAGAAGCCACUUAUUCUUCACUAUCUCAAUUUCUUCAUCUGCCAUCAUAUCUGAGCAUUUUGGUAACAAAAUUGAAAUGCACAUAAGAAAAUAUAAAGUAG
Molecule: long non-coding RNA, 722 nt
Organism: Canis lupus familiaris (dog)
Lineage: Eukaryota; Metazoa; Chordata; Mammalia; Carnivora; Canidae
Exons: 4
Source: RefSeq, a predicted model, not a curated record